GGAAUCCUCCGGGUUCCCGGGUUUCCCAUCUUUCCAUCGGCACCUCCCCCCGGCCCAGGGCUCUGGGGUUGCCCCGCCCACGUACCGCCCGCAGCCACCCGCGGGGCCGCACCGGGGCCGGGCGGGGCGGGCGUGCCGGGCCAGCCUAGGCCCCGCCGCCGGCACCCACUCCCAGGUGCCGGUCCUCAGGUCCUUGCUUCUUCCCGGCGCCAGGGCCUCGGGCCGGGGGUGGGGCCUGACCGGCCGGCUCCGCCGGGCUCCGGGCGGCGCACGUGCGGGCGGGAGGGGAUCCCCGGCGCCGGGGGCGGGGCACCCGGAAGCGCGCGCGGACUUGCCACGCCGAGCCGGCGGGCAGGAGAGCGACGGGGAGGCGGGCGAGUGCCCGGGCCGCGGCCGCCUGUGCUCACAGGUGGGCGGUGGCGGAGGCGCGGCGGAGCGGAGCCGGGGUCUCCGGGACUCCAGCCGUCAUACAGAGAGCCCAGCGGAGCAGAGCUCGGAAGACGCGUCCGCGCCUCGGGAGGAAUCUACCCUUCUCCCUCCACCUGGGCCUCUUUGGCUGCAGCCGCACCUCGGCCCCGGAACCCAGGUAACUUCCCUUCCAAGGUCAUUCUUCGGGCGGGGCGGCGCUCGCGGCCCGCCCACGUCCUCACGGUCGGCGGGGGCGGGAGAGGUGCGCCCUGCGCGGAGCUGGAGACACAGGGCUGGACGGCGACCCCGAGCGCUGCACGGGCGUCUGGUGGCCUCCCCAGGCCGGGUGCGGGCGCCGGCCCCCGCGGCACACGCCUUUCUCCGCCCGCAGCCCAGAGGGUGAGUUUCACCUGCACCUGGGCUUUGGGCGGGGGCCGCUCGGCCCUCCCCAUCCUGCACCGGCAGGUGAGCGCAGCCGCCCGCGCCCCGGCUGUCCGGGCCCGUGUGGUCGGCUGUCACCAUGGGAACCGCUGGUACCAGACGGCGCCAGCCCUGGUAGGAAGGGGCGGUGAAGGCGGUUGGGAGCCCCUAGAGCUCCCUGUCUGGCCGAGCCGAGCAAGAAAAGCCUGA
Molecule: long non-coding RNA, 1038 nt
Filed under: Zalophus californianus (California sea lion)
Lineage: Eukaryota; Metazoa; Chordata; Mammalia; Carnivora; Otariidae
Description: lncRNA (ENSZCAG00015004323.1)
Source: RNAcentral